Pocillopora verrucosa is the source of this 450-nucleotide long non-coding RNA. RefSeq lists it as uncharacterized. NCBI's taxonomy places the organism in Eukaryota, Metazoa, Cnidaria, Anthozoa, Scleractinia, Pocilloporidae. The record is from RefSeq and is a predicted model, not a curated record.
GCUCAUUCAGGUUUGGGAAUCACCGAGGUAAUAUCUCUCUCAAAGCGUGAAAUCAAGAUUAACUGAUUGACCAGUUGUGCCGCAGUGAAGAUGAAGUAUGCGAUAGUGUUUGUCCUUCUUCUGGUUGCUGUCACGCCAUCAUCAGCCCUUUCCUGUAUAGAUGAUUGUGAGCAGAAAAAUGACCUGUGUGAGGAUGCGUGCUCAAGGAACUAUCUUCCUUGUUCCGUCUGCGCGACGAAAUUGGAUGAUUGUAAGACACUAUGUCCAGGAAAAUGAGCUGGCGAAAGUACUAAGAGGCUUCAAGACAACCAAGGACUCGUCCAGAUAAAUGUCAAAUUUUGUUUUUGUGUCUUUGUAUAAAAUCUAGCGCCACAGCGACUGAUUUCCGAUCUACAUGGAAACCAUAGAUCAUGUCAACUGGUAGAAAUAAAAACGUAUCAAAAAUUAGAA